CUCCUACGGGAGGCAGCAGUGGGGAAUAUUGGACACUGUGGCGAAAGCCUGAUCCAGCCAUGCCGCGUGUGUGAAGAAGGCCUUUUGGUUGUAAAGCACUUUAAGUGAGGAGGAGGCUACUUAGAUUAAUACUCUAGGAUAGUGGACGUUACUCGCAGAAUAAGCACCGGCUAACUCUGUGCCAGCAGCCGCGGUAAUACAGAGGGUGCGAGCGUUAAUCGGACUUACUGGGCGUAAAGCGUGCGUAGGCGGCUUCUUAAGUCGGAUGUGAAAUCCCUGAGCUUAACUUAGGAAUUGCAUUCGAUACUGGGAAGCUAGAGUAUGGGAGAGGAUGGUAGAAUUCCAGGUGUAGCGGUGAAAUGCGUAGAGAUCUGGAGGAAUACCGAUGGCGAAGGCAGCCAUCUGGCCUAAUACUGACGCUGAGGUACGAAAGCAUGGGGAGCAAACAGGAUUAGAUACCCUGGUAGUCCAUGCCGUAAACGAUGUCUACUAGCCGUUGGGGCCUUUGAGGCUUUAGUGGCGCAGCUAACGCGAUAAGUAGACCGCCUGGGGAGUACGGUCGCAAGACUAAAACUCAAAUGAAUUGACGGGGGCCCGCACAAGCGGUGGAGCAUGUGGUUUAAUUCGAUGCAACGCGAAGAACCUUACCUGGUCUUGACAUAGUAAGAACUUUCCAGAGAUGGAUUGGUGCCUUCGGGAACUUACAUACAGGUGCUGCAUGGCUGUCGUCAGCUCGUGUCGUGAGAUGUUGGGUUAAGUCCCGCAACGAGCGCAACCCUUUUCCUUAUUUGCCAGCGGGCUAAGCCGGGAACUUUAAGGAUACUGCCAGUGACAAACUGGAGGAAGGCGGGGACGACGUCAAGUCAUCAUGGCCCUUACGACCAGGGCUACACACGUGCUACAAUGGUCGGUACAAAGGGUUGCUACCUAGCGAUAGGAUGCUAAUCUCAAAAAGCCGACCGUGGUCCGGAUUGGAGUCUGCAACUCGACUCCAUGAAGUCGGAAUCGCUAGUAAUCGCGGAUCAGAAUGCCGCGGUGAAUACGUUCCCGGGCCUUGCACACACCGCCCGU
Molecule: ribosomal RNA, 1071 nt
Filed under: Acinetobacter sp. enrichment culture clone MRHull-S-04H
Lineage: Bacteria; Pseudomonadati; Pseudomonadota; Gammaproteobacteria; Moraxellales; Moraxellaceae
Description: bacterial SSU rRNA
Rfam family: Bacterial small subunit ribosomal RNA
Source: RNAcentral